This 396-nucleotide ribosomal RNA is filed under the name uncultured bacterium. Its description in RNAcentral is "partial 16S ribosomal RNA". It matches the Rfam family "Bacterial small subunit ribosomal RNA", at positions 523 to 918 of the family's 1533-position model. The record is from RNAcentral.
AUACGUAGGGGGCGAGCGUUGUCCGGAAUGACUGGGCGUAAAGGGCGUGUAGGCGGCGGUGUAAGUCUGGAGUGAAAGUCCCGCAUUCAAUGUGGGAAUUGCUUUGGAUACUGCAGUGCUAGAGUGCGGAAGAGGUAAGUGGAAUUCCUAGUGUAGCGGUGAAAUGCGUAGAUAUUAGGAGGAACACCGGUGGCGAAGGCGGCUUACUGGACUGUAACUGACGUUGAGGCUCGAAAGCGUGGGGAGCAAACAGGAUUAGAUACCCUGGUAGUCCACGCUGUAAACGAUGAUGACUAGGUGUGGGGGGACUGACCCCCUCCGUGCCGGAGUAAACACAAUAAGUAUUCCACCUGGGGAGUACGACCGCAAGGUUGAAACUCAAAGGAAUUGACGGGG